AGCUAACUUAGUGGCGGACGGGUGAGUAACACGUAGGUAACCAACCCUCAAGCGGGGGACAACUCUUCGAAAGGAGAGCUAAUACCGCAUAAGCUCACGGACUGGGAUGUUUGUGAGAAAAGGAGCAAUUCACUUGAGGAUGGGCCUGCGGCCUAUCAGGUAGUUGGUAAGGUAAUGGCUUACCAAGCCUAAGACGGGUAGCCGGACUGAGAGGUUGAACGGCCACACUGGAACUGAGACACGGUCCAGACUCCUACGGGAGGCAGCAGUGGGGAAUUUUGCGCAAUGGGGGAAACCCUGACGCAGCGACGCCGCGUGGAGGAUGAAGGUCUUCGGAUUGUAAACUCCUUUUGUCGGGGAAGAUAAUGACGGUACCCGAUGAAUAAGCCACGGCUAACUCUGUGCCAGCAGCCGCGGUAAGACAGAGGUGGCAAGCGUUGUUCGGAAUUACUGGGCUUAAAGGGCGCGUAGGCGGUGGAGUAAGUCUGAGGUGGAAGAUUAGGGCUUAACCCUAAAAUUGCCUUGGAAACUGCAUCACUUGAGUCAGCGAGGGGAUGGCGGAAUUCCAGGUGUAGCGGUGAAAUGCGUAGAUAUCUGGAGGAAGGCCGGUGGCGAAGGCGGCCAUCUGGCGCUGAACUGACGCUGAGGCGCGAAAGCGUGGGGAGCAAACAGGAUUAGAUACCCUGGUAGU
This 691-nucleotide ribosomal RNA is filed under the name uncultured bacterium. Its description in RNAcentral is "bacterial SSU rRNA". It matches the Rfam family "Bacterial small subunit ribosomal RNA", at positions 85 to 794 of the family's 1533-position model. The record is from RNAcentral.